UCAUUAAAGAUAUAGAAAUGAUGAUUGGAGCAAAAAGGUGGAUAUUCUGGCUAUGGUGGAGAGCUUGCUGGUUUGCCAUUACGCCUAUUCUUUUGAUUGCAAUUUUUAUCUGGUCACUGGUGAAAUUUGACACACCUAAGUACGGUGACAUUCCAUACCCGGACUGGGGAGUUGCUCUAGGCUGGUGUAUGAUUAUUUUCUGCAUUAUUUGGAUUCCAAUUAUGGCUAUUAUAAAAAUAAUUCAAGCUAAAGGAAACAUCUUUCAACGCAUUGUAAGCUGCUGCAGACCAGCUUCUAACUGGGGCCCAUACUUGGAACGACACCGUGGGGAGAGAUACAAAGACAUGGCAGAUCUGAAGAAAGAGACUGACCAUGAAGUACCCACUAUCAGUGGCAGUGGAA
Pteronotus mesoamericanus is the source of this 402-nucleotide long non-coding RNA. RefSeq lists it as uncharacterized. The transcript is spliced from 3 exons. The record is from RefSeq and is a predicted model, not a curated record. NCBI's taxonomy places the organism in Eukaryota, Metazoa, Chordata, Mammalia, Chiroptera, Mormoopidae.